GGAAUCACAGUUUCUAGUAAGUGGAGUAACCACAACAAAGCUCUUCUGGAAAUGAAAAGUACAUCCAGCCUCGUCUGCUUUUAUCCGCAUGAUAUCAUGGUGAAAUUCUAAGGAGACACUCACUAAAUCUUCUGGGAUAGAAGGAAGAAAUGAAGUCCUAGAUGCGGUUGUACGCAGUGCUGGUAAAACAACAAAUCCUGUUGGAAGAUGGCAACUCACCUGUUUGAGAAUCCCAGAGGCUGAAAUAAAACAAAGCAUGCAAGUCCAGAAAGUCAUUCUAACAACUUUUUUGAAUAUAAAAGAAAAUUUCCUUCAGCCGAGCUUGUGGACACCCUGACAAAGGAUAACAGAGAAAAGCCUACCACAAACAGAUACAAAUAAUAUAAAAAGGAAUGUGCAAACAUAUUUUCCAGCCCGGGUGGUGAAUUCAUGGCAUUGCUGUCCAUUUAUCACAUUAUUCAGACAACCAGGAACCUCUUCAUGAUAGCACC
This 491-nucleotide long non-coding RNA is filed under the name Gallus gallus (chicken). The record is from RNAcentral. Lineage: Eukaryota; Metazoa; Chordata; Aves; Galliformes; Phasianidae.